AACGAACGCUGGCGGCAGGCCUAACACAUGCAAGUCGAACGCAUCCUUCGGGGUGAGUGGCGCACGGGUGAGUAACACGUGGGAAUGUGCCCUUUGGUUCGGAAUAACGUCUGGAAACGGACGCUAAUACCGAAUGUCCCCUGUGGGGGAAAGAUUUAUCGCCAAAGGAGCAGCCCGCGUCUGAUUAGGUAGUUGGUGGGGUAACGGCCUACCAAGCCGACGAUCAGUAGCUGGUCUGAGAGGAUGAUCAGCCACACUGGGACUGAGACACGGCCGAGACUCCGACGGGGGGCGGCAGUGGGGAAUCUUGGACAAUGGGCGCAAGCCUGAUCCAGCCAUGCCGCGUGAGUGAUGAAGGCCUUCGGGUUGUAAAGCUCUUUCGCACGUGACGAUGAUGACGGUAACGUGAGAAGAAGCCCCGGCUAACUUCGUGCCAGCCGCCGCAGUAA
Molecule: ribosomal RNA, 449 nt
Filed under: uncultured bacterium
Lineage: Bacteria
Description: partial 16S ribosomal RNA
Rfam family: Bacterial small subunit ribosomal RNA
Source: RNAcentral